This 467-nucleotide ribosomal RNA is filed under the name uncultured bacterium. RNAcentral's name for it is "partial 16S ribosomal RNA". It matches the Rfam family "Bacterial small subunit ribosomal RNA", at positions 29 to 507 of the family's 1533-position model. The record is from RNAcentral.
ACGAACGCUGGCGGCGUGCUUAACACCUGCUAGUCGAACGGAAAGGCCCUGCUUUUGUGGGGUGCUCGAGUGGCGAACGGGUGAGUAACACGUGAGUAACCUGCCCUUGACUUUGGGAUAACUUCAGGAAACUGGGGCUAAUACCGGAUACGAGCUCCUGCUGCCUGGUGGGGGUUGGAAAGUUUCGGCGGUUGGGGAUGGACUCGCGGCUUAUCAGCUUGUUGGUGGGGUAGUGGCUUACCAAGGCUUUGACGGGUAGCCGGCCUGAGAGGGUGACCGGCCACAUUGGGACUGAGAUACGGCCCAGACUCCUACGGGAGGCAGCAGUGGGGAAUAUUGCACAAUGGGCGGAAGCCUGAUGCAGCAACGCCGCGUGCGGGAUGACGGCCUUCGGGUUGUAAACCGCUUUCGCCUGUGACGAAGCGUGAGUGACGGUAAUGGGUAAAGAAGCACCGGCUAACUACGUG